UAGCAUCCACAUACUUCCGCAUUCCGCCAUCUUAGCUCGAUCCUGUUCCAGCUGUCUCUUCCUGGUUACAGAUGACACGCCAGCUUGGCCAAUCUAAGGGGACUAGUAUGCUUGCCUUCCUUAUAAGGUGACGGUUGGCAGCCAGUAAAUCCUCCAAUAGGGGAUAGAUUUCUCUCCCCUGCCUGAAAUAUAAGGUGACGGUUGGCAGCCAGUAAAUCCUCCAAUAGGGGAUAGAUUUCUCUCCCCUGCCUGAAAUAUAAGGUGACGGUUGGCAGCCAGUAAAUCCUCCAAUAGGGGAUAGAUUUCUCUCCCCUGCCUGAAAUAUAAGGUGACGGUUGGCAGCCAGUAAAUCCUCCAAUAGGGGAUAGAUUUCUCUCCCCUGCCUGAAAUAUAUAUAAGCUUGCUCCCGAGGUGGAUCGGGGCUCGCCGUCCACGACAUCGCUGUAACUCAACUUGAUUCCUGCAAUAAAGAUUGCUGACGAGAA
Nannospalax galili (Upper Galilee mountains blind mole rat) is the source of this 485-nucleotide long non-coding RNA. RefSeq lists it as uncharacterized. Lineage: Eukaryota; Metazoa; Chordata; Mammalia; Rodentia; Spalacidae. The record is from RefSeq and is a predicted model, not a curated record. The transcript has 2 exons.